GCCUACGACCAUAUCACCCUGAAUGUGCCUGAUCACUUAAACUAAGCAGGAUUGAGCCUGGUUAGUACUUGGAUGGGAGACUGCCUGAUAAAACCAGUUGUUUUAUUCU
RNAcentral lists this ribosomal RNA (109 nucleotides) under Petromyzon marinus (sea lamprey). The record is from RNAcentral. Lineage: Eukaryota; Metazoa; Chordata; Hyperoartia; Petromyzontiformes; Petromyzontidae.